CAAAGGUAGCGAAAUCAUUUGUCUACUAAUUAUAGACCAGUAUGAAGGGCCACAUGAGGGUUUAACUGUCUCCUGAGACAAAUUUAUAAAACUGAUCUCCCAGUUCAAAAGCUGGAAUUCUAACAUAAGACGAGAAGACCCUGUGAAGCUUAAAAAACCCCAUUAACACAGGUAAUGGGUACUUUUAGUUGGGGCAACUUUGGAAAACAGACCAACCUCCAAAGACUAACAAGUCAACAACGACCCAGUAUGACUGAGAAAUGAACCAAGUUACUCCAGGGAUAACAGCGCAAUCUUCUUCAAGAGCCCAUAUCUAAAAGAGGGUUUACGACCUCGAUGUUGGAUCAGGACACCCAAGCGGUGCAGUAGCUGCUAAAGGUUCGUUUGUUCAACGAUUAAAGU
RNAcentral lists this ribosomal RNA (402 nucleotides) under Anilios ammodytes. Its description in RNAcentral is "partial 16S ribosomal RNA". It matches the Rfam family "Bacterial large subunit ribosomal RNA", at positions 1951 to 2594 of the family's 2925-position model. The record is from RNAcentral. Lineage: Eukaryota; Metazoa; Chordata; Lepidosauria; Squamata; Typhlopidae.